AUUCCCGUUGAUCCUGCGGGAGAUCGCUGCUAUUGGAAUUCGGUUUAGACAUGCAAGUUAGCCCUCUUCGGAGGACGGCAAAAGGCUUAGUAACACGUCGAUAAUCUGCCUUAUGGUCAAGUACAUACUUGGGAAACUAAGGGAAAUGCUUGAUAAGGAAUUACAACUGCAAUGUGUUUUUCCUGAAAGCUUCGGCGCCAUAAGAUGAGUCGGCGGCUGAUUAGUUUGUUGGUGAGGUAAUGGCUCACCAAGGCUAAGAUCAGUAGGGGGAGUGAGAGCUCUAGCCUCAAGAAGGGCACUGAGAAACUGGCCCUAGUCCUAAGGGAUGCAGCAGUCGCGAAAACUUUACAAUGCACGAAAGUGUGAUAAGGGAAUUCCAAGUGUCUAUUUAACAAUAGACUUUUGCCAAGUGUAAGUAGCUUGGAGAAUAAGUGGUGGGCAAGACCGGUGCCAGCCGCCGCGGUAACACCGGCGCCACGAGUGGGGAUCAUAUUUAUUGGGUCUAAAGCGUUUGUAGCUGGUUUAAUAACUCUCUUGUGAAAUUGUUCUGCUUAACUUAACAAAUUGCGAGAGAAACUGUUAAAAUUGAGACCGGGAGGGGAUAAGAGUAUUCCAAGGGGAGCGGUAAAAUGUUAUAAUCCUUGGAGGACUACCAAUGGCGAAGGCACUUAUCCAGAACGGGUCUGACAGUGAGAAACGAAGGCUAGGAGAACGAAAAGGAUUAGAUACCCUAGUAGCCCUAGCAGUAAACGCUGUGAGUUAGGUGUUGUAUAAUCUACGUGAUUAUACAGUGCCGUAGGGAAGCCGUUAAACUCACCACCUGGGAAUUACGAUCGCAAGAUUGAAACUUAAAGGAAUUGGCGGGGGCGCACACAAGGAGUGAGGUGUGCGGUUUAAUUGGAUUCUACGCCGUUAAUCUCACCAGGAGCGACGGCAG
RNAcentral lists this ribosomal RNA (937 nucleotides) under Candidatus Woesearchaeota archaeon. RNAcentral's name for it is "bacterial SSU rRNA". It matches the Rfam family "Archaeal small subunit ribosomal RNA", at positions 1 to 945 of the family's 1478-position model. The record is from RNAcentral. Lineage: Archaea; Nanobdellati; Candidatus Woesearchaeota.